RNAcentral lists this long non-coding RNA (1406 nucleotides) under Gouania willdenowi (blunt-snouted clingfish). Its description in RNAcentral is "lncRNA (ENSGWIG00000004455.1)". The record is from RNAcentral. Lineage: Eukaryota; Metazoa; Chordata; Actinopteri; Blenniiformes; Gobiesocidae.
ACCAAUUCUUGCUGCUGAUUGGUCGUGAUGUCAUCAGUGAUGUCAUCAGUGUCUCCGACAGGCAGCGGUGCAGUGGCUCACCUUCAGUGCUUGCACUGUGGUCAUUUCUCCAAAAGCCACGCCCACCUGCUGUCUCACUUGGCGGAUGAUCAUCCAACCAGCCUGGACGACGUGCCGGUCGGUCGCCUCGGCAACAUCUUGAUGUACCAACCGGAGCCCCGCCUCUUCCACUGCGAGCCGUGCUUCUUCACCAGUCGUGACUUCGCUAAAGUCUUCCAGCACGUCAUCGCCAAGCACUGCGACGACGGCGCCGGUAAGGAGGAGGAGGAGGGAGGAGAGCGCCCAACCGUGAAGGAGGAGGAGCCAGAGCCGCUCAAUGAGGAGGAGGAGGGGGCGGAGCCUAAAGUGGAGAAGCCGAUGGACGACGAGGGCAGUUACGGCUGCGAAAUGAAAGCCCUGGACAUCCAACCAGUAAUCCAACAGCAGGACGUAGCGGGGACGUACGAUAGCGACGUGGCUAGCGCCUCAUCCAAAGAAACAUCGCCCACGCUGGAGAGCAGCUCGCCGUUAAACGUCUAUGAAAAGAGCGAUUUAUUAUCCAAGACUGAUCCGUCAUCCUCGAGCGACGACAUAAAGGAUCCGACGGUCGACAACAACGAAAGCGACAACAACGAAAAGAGCAACCAGUCGUUCAACAGCGACACGAAGAACUUCCUGGCGUUCAACGGCACCCUGUACCGAUGUCUGAUCUGCGGCUGGAAGAACAAGGUCAAAGCUUUCGGGGUGAAUCACGUGAUCCGAAACCACGACGUCCCCCGGAUGUACGCCUCGCACGGCGUCCAGGGCGACACCGUCACGCCGGACGACGAGGACGUUGUCGGGCUGAGCGCUGAGAUGCUGAAGGAGGAGAUCGAGGCGACCUCUAAGGUCGUGAGCUUUGCCGCGAGCCGAUUCUUCUGCCUCAUCUGCGGCUGGAAGACCAAACUGAAAGGCUUCGCCAUCAGCCACGUGAUUCGUUUCCACGACGUGGAGCUGCCGUACUCGUGUAAAGACUGCGGCCGCCGCUUCUUCCUGCCCAGCCGGCUGCACCAGCACGUGAGGGUGGAGCAUCGGCCCGGGCGCUACUUCUGCCCCUUCUGCUGCUUCAGGACGCACGUGCUCGGGGGCUUCAAGCGCCACUGCAGCCGCUGCUGCGCACGGGAGGGGGCGGAUCCCGGUCAGGUGCCUGAGCCCGGUCAGGGGGUGGAGCCUGCGGAGAGGAGGGUGGGCAGGAAGAGACGAAGAACAGUGAAAAUGAUGGAGGCUGAGGAUGAGGAGGAUAAAGACUGAAGGGUUUUUGGUUUGUUUACGUUUUUAAUUGAGUUAAACAAAAUAAAACCACUUUUUACAGUUUUUAACUAAUAUGG